Molecule: transfer RNA, 70 nt
Filed under: Blepharipa sp. CMERI-Uzi-001
Lineage: Eukaryota; Metazoa; Arthropoda; Insecta; Diptera; Tachinidae
Description: tRNA-Trp
Source: RNAcentral
AAGGCUUUAAGUUAAUAAAACUAAUAACCUUCAAAGCUAUAAAUAUAAGAACAUAAUCUUUUAAGCCUUA